GGGGCCGUAAAGGUUUCGACGUGGUAGCGAAAACUGACCCGUGAUGCAGGUCGAGAGUGAGUCUCCUCUCGCAAAUCAAAGGCUCAAAACAAUGUAAAUGCGAAUAACAUCGUAAACUUUACUCGUAAGGAAGCUGCAGUAGCAGUAGCCUAAAACACCUCUUAUAGGUUCGAGUGCUUCUAAUUUGACUCCGUUAAGGAUUAGAGGCAAACCCCAACGGAUGCGCUGAUAAGUAAUCUUUGGUGUACUUAUUAGCAAAGACUUUACCAAAGCAUCCCACCGUUCGGGAUAAUGGGCGGUCCCCGCUUCGAGGGUAAAAGAAGCUAAACCUGUGAAUGAGCGGUAAGCGAAUACCUAUUGCGGACGGCAGUUCGAUUCUGCCCGGUUCCACUU
Molecule: transfer-messenger RNA, 393 nt
Filed under: Mastigocoleus testarum BC008
Lineage: Bacteria; Bacillati; Cyanobacteriota; Cyanophyceae; Nostocales; Hapalosiphonaceae
Also listed under: 1 other name
Rfam family: transfer-messenger RNA
About the family: Bacterial tmRNA, also known as 10Sa RNA or SsrA, is named for its dual tRNA and mRNA-like properties.
Source: Rfam by way of RNAcentral